RNAcentral lists this long non-coding RNA (1903 nucleotides) under Marmota monax (woodchuck). Lineage: Eukaryota; Metazoa; Chordata; Mammalia; Rodentia; Sciuridae. The record is from RNAcentral.
AUAUUUGUUUAUCAUUAUCCUUAGUAAUUACCACUUAUCGUCAUGCUGUUAUAUAUAAUUAUGAUGUAUGUUCAGCUAUUGAGAGUAUAGAGUGAUUAGUUUUCCUCUUCUACUUUUCUUCUUUCUGUAAUUUUAUGAUACUUUUAUUAUUUUAAUGGUAUUAAAAUAAAAAGGUCUGUAAAGAAUGUAUGUUUCAUUUUGGAUGCAGAGAAGUGGUGCCCUCCUUUCAACGUAUUUGUUCCUAUUCAGUAUCUUGGAGUUUUGUUUGGCAGUUAUAGUGACUGACUGGGGAUACAAAGCAAACAGAUAGAAGAUAAAAGAUGCAGUGAGUAUCUCAUUCCUCUCUAGUGAGCUGCCUUCUGUGAUGAACCCUAUUUAAAAAACAUCUUGAUGAGAAGCAUAAACCCCUGCCAUCUCUAAACUGUGACUGUGGGUACCUGAAAACACCUUGCAAUAACUCUAGGGUAGUAAAUGGGUCUCCAGUAACUGAAGAUAAACAGAUUUCUCUACUAAAGUGCUUUGUAUUGCAGGGUGCUUUUAUGUUCACACUUAAAUGAGUGAAUGAGGUAGACAAUAUAUGGUUUUCUGGCUCCAUAAAAUGAGAGCAGGGUUCCAUCUAAAGAUAUUGAAAUUCAUAAGGUAAAAAAAUGAUAGUUCUAGUUAAAUGCAAAGAAGACAGACCCACAUCUCAUUCUUUUUUUUUUAUUGGUUGUUCAAAACAUUACAAAGCUCUUGACAUAUCAUAUUUCAUACAUUAGAUUCAAGUGGGUUAUGAACUCCCAUUUUUACCCCAAUUACAGAUUGCAGAAUCACAUCGGUUACACAUCCACAUUUUUACAUGAUGCCAUAUUAGUGACUGUUGUAUUCUGCUACCUUUCCUAUCCUCUACUAUCCCCCCUCUCCUCCCCUCCCAACUUCUCUCUCUACCCCCUCUACUGUAAUUCAUUUCUCUCUUUGUUUUUUCCCCAUUCCCCUCACAACCUCUUAUAUGUAAUUUUGUAUAACAAUGAGGGUCUCCUUCCAUUUCCAUGCAAUUUCCCUUUUCUCUCCCUUUCCCUCCCACCUCAUGUCUCUGUUUAAUGUUAGUCUUUUCCUCCUGCUCUUCCUCCCUGCUCUGUUCUUAGUUGCUCUCUUUAUAUCAAAGAAGACAUUUGGCAUUGGUUUUUUAGGGAUUAUGGAGUAUUACGCACCACAUCUCAUUCUUAAUUCUCCUCUGAACAAAGUGAAAAGAGUAAGAAUGUGAACAUAUAUGAACAUACAGUUUUCCACUUCAACUAGGUGGAAUUUAAUCUGAGAGGAGAGAAAGAGGACAGAAGGAGGGAAGGAGAAGAAAAGGAAAGGGAAGGGGGAAGAAGAAAAGUAAAAAGCAUCAAAGCACAUAGUUUAAUUUUAUUUAGGACUCUCAGUAUGAGAAUAUUUUAUUAGAAUUCUUUGCAAAAUACUAGUGAAAAUCCUAUGUCUUCUUUUAACUUUAGAACGUAUUGAUGAUCAAUUUACUAGUGUCCAACUUACCUCAGUUUCAUGGCAGAAGAAGAUCCGUUUCCUAUGUAUGAAGAACCAUCAUGACUUCGGUCAAGGAGGAGAGUUGAGUGGUGAAUGACUUCAUUUUGUCCAAACGACUUCUUGGAAAAUAUGAUUGAAUUAAGCCCUUCUUAGUAUUUCCUUUCCUCCAUUUCUUUAAUAAAAGUCAAUAUUGAUGAAUAUGGUUAUUUUGUUCUGUGUGAGGAGCUCAACAUAAAUUUAUCUUGUCAGCAUAAAUUUAUCUCAGGCUGACUAUGGUCAGCCUCAGUGAAGACAUUAUUCAAUGCAAGUAAAUUCUAUGAGUGGACACAUGCUUCUGGAGUGUAAUCUAUAUCUGAUAUUGAUAGGGUGAGGCAAUAACUGCUGGCUCGAGGAAAUCAUG